Colius striatus (speckled mousebird) is the source of this 913-nucleotide long non-coding RNA. RefSeq lists it as uncharacterized. NCBI's taxonomy places the organism in Eukaryota, Metazoa, Chordata, Aves, Coliiformes, Coliidae. The record is from RefSeq and is a predicted model, not a curated record. The transcript is spliced from 6 exons.
CAACAUGGCGGCGUCCGCGGGGGGGGUCUGAGCUCAUGGGGAUACCCCUCCCCCCCGCGGGUGCCCCGCGGCACCCCCCCCCGCCCCAAUUCCCCUCCCAGCUUACCCCGAGGGACAUUUUGGGGGUGGGAGGGGGAGUUAUUGCACCAUCAGGGGGGUGGAGCCCCCCUAAACCCCACCUACCCCCCCAAAAAGUGGGUGGGCUUCGGCUCGACCACCCACCACGCUCUUUUCCCCUCCCCCACCCUCCCUACGUCUUUGGGGGGUAUAAGGGACAGCCCCCCAUCAUCCGGGGCGGGGUCUGAGGUGCCACAGGGAAGCAGAAACUCAUCGAGAGAGGGGGAGAUCUUGCUGUAUCUGGUUCUGUUCUUGAAAAGACAUGACAAAGCUCCAACACAGAUGACAGUGAAACUACCACAUCUAUUGUCAAAACAAUCCCAGGAUUGCCUUUCAAGGAAAAUCCAGCAGUUCACACAGACAGGCUUCAGCAGUGCUUAAAUUCCGAUCCUUUGAACACACAUAGAACUGAAAAUGAGCAACAGAUCACAGAAACAUGGACUCACUGAGGCUGUAAGGGACCACUGAAAAUGGCUCACACAGCUCCAACCACUAGCACUUAUCUUGUGUCCUGGGUGGAAGAAGGCACGACUUGGUUUUGAGCUACUGAAAACAUACCAGAGAUGCUCCAGACAGCUUCAUCCAAUGCUGUUAAUACUUGGGCAGAACAAAGAAGCAGCUAAAAGUGUGAAAAUCCAAGGAUGUAAGAAUACUUCUGUCGUCUGAAUGACACUUGAAAGCAAUGUAGGCUGUCUUAGUUGCCCAAAACUGUAAGAAAUGAAGUUUUACUUUUUCCUAUCAAGUGAUCAUUUUGUUUCUUAGAUGCUGUAACUCUAGUGAUGCAUGAAAGUUCAUU